This 292-nucleotide ribosomal RNA is filed under the name uncultured bacterium. RNAcentral's name for it is "partial 16S ribosomal RNA". It matches the Rfam family "Bacterial small subunit ribosomal RNA", at positions 505 to 796 of the family's 1533-position model. The record is from RNAcentral.
GUGCCAGCAGCCGCGGUAAAACGUAGGAUCCGAGCGUUAUCCGAAUUCACUGGGCGUAAAGCGCGUGCAGGCGGUCUGAUAAGUUGGAUGUAAAAACUCCUGGCUCAACUGGGAGGGGACGUCGAAUACUGUCAGACUAGAGGACGGCAGAGGAAGGUGGAAUUCCCGGUGUAGUGGUGAAAUGCGUAGAUAUCGGGAGGAACACCAGAGGCGAAGGCGGCCUUCUGGGCCGUACCUGACGCUCAGACGCGAAAGCUAGGGGAGCGAACGGGAUUAGAUACCCUCGUAGUCC